AGCAGUGCCACGGUAAUACGGAGGGUGCAAGCGUUAAUCGGAAUUACUGGGCGUAAAGCGUGCGUAGGCGGUUCGUUAAGUCUGUUGUGAAAGCCCCGGGCUCAACCUGGGAAUGGCAAUGGAUACUGGCGAGCUAGAGUGUGUCAGAGGAUGGUGGAAUUCCCGGUGUAGCGGUGAAAUGCGUAGAGAUCGGGAGGAACAUCAGUGGCGAAGGCGGCCAUCUGGGACAACACUGACGCUGAGGCACGAAAGCGUGGGGAGCAAACAGGAUUAGAUACCCGAGUAGUCCCUGUCUCUUAUACA
RNAcentral lists this ribosomal RNA (303 nucleotides) under uncultured bacterium. Its description in RNAcentral is "partial 16S ribosomal RNA". It matches the Rfam family "Bacterial small subunit ribosomal RNA", at positions 507 to 808 of the family's 1533-position model. The record is from RNAcentral.